This 67-nucleotide transfer RNA is filed under the name Palaemon sinensis. RNAcentral's name for it is "tRNA-Gln". Lineage: Eukaryota; Metazoa; Arthropoda; Malacostraca; Decapoda; Palaemonidae. The record is from RNAcentral.
UACAUUUUAGUGUAGAGGCACAUAAAGUUUUGAUUUUUAAAGAGAUAGUGUAAUUCUAUCAAGUGUA